Molecule: ribosomal RNA, 530 nt
Filed under: uncultured bacterium
Lineage: Bacteria
Description: bacterial SSU rRNA
Rfam family: Bacterial small subunit ribosomal RNA
Source: RNAcentral
UGGUAGUCCACGCCCUNAACGAUGUCGAUUAGCUGUUGGGCAACUUGAUUGCUUAGUAGCGUAGCUAACGCGUGAAAUCGACCGCCUGGGGAGUACGGUCGCAAGAUUAAAACUCAAAGGAAUUGACGGGGACCCGCACAAGCGGUGGAUGAUGUGGAUUAAUUCGAUGCAACGCGAAGAACCUUACCUGGUCUUGACAUGUACGGAAGAACUCAGAGGCGAGUUUGUGCCUUCGGGAGCCGUAACACAGGUGCUGCAUGGCUGCCGUCAGCUCGUGUCGUGAGAUGUUGGGUUAAGUCCCGCAACGAGCGCAACCCUUGUCAUUAGUUGCCAUCAUUUAGUUGGGCACUCUAAUGAGACUGCCGGUGACAAACCGGAGGAAGGUGGGGAUGACGUCAAGUCCUCAUGGCCCUUAUGACCAGGGCUUCACACGUCAUACAAUGGUCGGUACAGAGGGUAGCCAAGCCGCGAGGUGGAGCCAAUCCCAGAAAACCGAUCGUAGUCCGGAUUGCACUCUGCAACUCGAGUGC